Callithrix jacchus (white-tufted-ear marmoset) is the source of this 1961-nucleotide long non-coding RNA. RefSeq lists it as uncharacterized. The record is from RefSeq and is a predicted model, not a curated record. NCBI's taxonomy places the organism in Eukaryota, Metazoa, Chordata, Mammalia, Primates, Cebidae.
UAUUUUCAGAAUGGCUCAAGCAGUUGCCUGUGGAGAGCUUUAGAUCGCCCUAAAUCUUGUCAACUUCCCCAGCAGCCCCCAAUGCUUAUGCAACCUCAGUAAAAACAGCUGCUUGCAAGGAAGAUGCAGUUCCAGGGCCAAUCCGCAGCCUACCUCUCCAGCUCUGAGUCCUGUCACUGACCUCUCAAGUCUUGGAGGUUUCAUAGCUGAUAUACAAUUUAGAAGUGGAAAAACCCACCAGCGAUCCUCUAAUCCAGCUCUCUGCAUUCUAAAAGGAUGGUCUAAGAAGAUGAUAUCUGGGCAUCGACCUAAAUGAAUGAGGGAAUGCAACAUGUCAACAUGAAUGGAAACAGUCUUUCAGGCAGAAGGAACAGACUGCACAGGUUGUGAAAAAGGAACAAGCUUGGUGCGUUGGAAGGACAACAAGAACAUCCACAUGGUCAGUGCAGAUUACGUAAGGAAGACCGGAAAGAGCCAAGGUCCCUCAGACUUACAGGCCAUGAGGAUUAAAAGAAUGAAGGAACGUAUUUGAAAAGAGAAGAUGAGACAAAAGACAAAAUCAGAACUGCAUUUUGCUUUAAAUUCUAUUUUGGAUUUUUUUUUAACUUUUUCAUAAUUCAGAGCUUUACAUGAACUUCACCAUAAAAGAAACUUUAAGAGAAAAAAAGAAUUUGUCUUUACUAUUUUUAUAUUGUGUGUAUGUGUUUAUAUGGGAACAAAACAAAACUGAUGAGAAACAGCUGAAUGAACAUGUGGCUUUUAAAACAUUAUGUAAUAAAAGAGAAGGAAAAGAUCUAGAGUCCUACAUUGCACAUAUGAUAUUUUGUCCCUAUCGGCACCUUUUUUUUUCUUAAGGAUAUCAAAAUCUGAUGUGAUUUCACCGGUGACCCAGCUUCUAGAAUUACAUUCUGCAAAACUGUUUCCCUUCCAUAGGCUUAGUGAAAUGUGCAGUGAUGGCUUCCACGUGAAGAUAAGCCCCCAACAUGUUCUCCAAGCAAACCCAGGCACACGUUUAGAACCAAAGUGACAGAUACAUUAAAUCUAGGUUGAUUACAUAGAAAGUGAAGAAAAUCAUAUGUAACAAAAUAACAUUAGUGGUUGAAAUAUCAAAAACCUUAAAUUCUAUGCUAGCAAGUUAGUUUUUUUUUUUUUCAACAAAGUUAAGCAUGUCUGGACACCAAUGAAAUGUGUGCAGUUUUCUUUCUAAAUAAAAUCCUGGGAUAUAAACAAAAAGCACCAAACAAAAGUGCUAUUUUUUCAUGGUCACUAAAAUAAAACUGAAUUCAAAAUAGCUGAAUUCAUGAAGAGCUUAAAGGCAUAUCAUAAAUCCACACAAUGGUGUCUUAAUUUCACUUACAAUGUUUGAGUUUGCUGCCAAAAGUUCAAUUUUCUCUCUUUUUUAAUUGAGGUAAGUACCUAUGAAAGAAUUGUACUUCCUAAAAAGAAAGCACAACUUUACAAGAAAAAAAUUAAUUGCUCUCAUCUCCAGUUAAACACAAUGUCCAUCUUUAUUAGAUCAAAAAGGGAAUAUUGUACCAGUGAGUUGACCAAUAAUACAAAUAGGCUGGAAGUUCUAACAAAAAGAAAUGUUCAAUCUCCCUCCUCUCCCCAGUAAUCUGAUUCUCAUCCAUAGACUACUUUGACCUUACAGAAAGGUUUAUUUUUUAAAAAAUGGGCAGAACAGAAAAGAAUACAAUUCCUUGGUCAAGAGACCAAGACUUGAAUCAUACUAACCAAGAAGAUCAAUUCUAUGUUCAACAUCAGACCACACAUUUUGCCAAAUAUGAUAGACUGGCAAAUAGGAUAUUUGGUCAAAAUGGCUGUGGUAAAAAUUUGUACGUGUAGAAUCAUGCUAUGUAAACAGAUUUUGAAACAAUUUCAGUGGUAGUUCAAGGUCAAAACCUUUUCAUGCAUACUAUAAUAUUCAGCUGAACAGAGCUCACAGACAACCCUCUCAUCUG